GGAGCUUGCUCCCUGAUGUUAGCGGCGGACGGGUGAGUAACACGUGGGUAACCUGCCUGUAAGACUGGGAUAACUCCGGGAAACCGGGGCUAAUACCGGAUGCUUGAUUGAACCGCAUGGUUCAAUUAUAAAAGGUGGCUUUUAGCUACCACUUACAGAUGGACCCGCGGCGCAUUAGCUAGUUGGUGAGGUAACGGCUCACCAAGGCAACGAUGCGUAGCCGACCUGAGAGGGUGAUCGGCCACACUGGGACUGAGACACGGCCCAGACUCCUACGGGAGGCAGCAGUAGGGAAUCUUCCGCAAUGGACGAAAGUCUGACGGAGCAACGCCGCGUGAGUGAUGAAGGUUUUCGGAUCGUAAAACUCUGUUGUUAGGGAAGAACAAGUACCGUUCGAAUAGGGCGGUACCUUGACGGUACCUAACCAGAAAGCCACGGCUAACUACGUGCCAGCAGCCGCGGUAAUACGUAGGUGGCAAGCGUUGUCCGGAAUUAUUGGGCGUAAAGCGCGCGCAGGCGGUUUCUUAAGUCUGAUGUGAAAGCCCCCGGCUCAACCGGGGAGGGUCAUUGGAAACUGGGGAACUUGAGUGCAGAAGAGGAGAGUGGAAUUCCACGUGUAGCGGUGAAAUGCGUAGAGAUGUGGAGGAACACCAGUGGCGAAGGCGACUCUCUGGUCUGUAACUGACGCUGAGGCGCGAAA
RNAcentral lists this ribosomal RNA (700 nucleotides) under Bacillus sonorensis. Its description in RNAcentral is "bacterial SSU rRNA". It matches the Rfam family "Bacterial small subunit ribosomal RNA", at positions 75 to 758 of the family's 1533-position model. The record is from RNAcentral. Lineage: Bacteria; Bacillati; Bacillota; Bacilli; Caryophanales; Bacillaceae.